This 253-nucleotide ribosomal RNA is filed under the name uncultured bacterium. Its description in RNAcentral is "partial 16S ribosomal RNA". It matches the Rfam family "Bacterial small subunit ribosomal RNA", at positions 524 to 776 of the family's 1533-position model. The record is from RNAcentral.
UACGUAGGGGGCAAGCGUUGUCCGGAUUUAUUGGGCGUAAAGAGCGUGUAGGCGGCCUGAAAGGUCAGCUGUGAAAACUCGAGGCUCAACCUCGAGACGCCGGUGGAAACCGUAAAGCUAGAGUCCGGAAGAGGAGAGUGGAAUUCCUGGUGUAGCGGUGAAAUGCGCAGAUAUCAGGAGGAACACCCGUGGCGAAAGCGGCUCUCUGGGACGGUACUGACGCUGAGACGCGAAAGCGUGGGGAGCAAACAGG